GCGCGAGUGGCGGAAUUGGUAGACGCGCACGGUUCAGGUCCGUGUGCCUUUUAUCGGGCGUGGGGGUUCGAGUCCCCCCUCGCGCA
RNAcentral lists this transfer RNA (86 nucleotides) under Actinomycetaceae bacterium. RNAcentral describes it as "tRNA-Leu". It matches the Rfam family "tRNA". Rfam says of the family: Transfer RNA (tRNA) molecules are approximately 80 nucleotides in length. Their secondary structure includes four short double-helical elements and three loops (D, anti-codon, and T loops). Lineage: Bacteria; Bacillati; Actinomycetota; Actinomycetes; Actinomycetales; Actinomycetaceae. The record is from RNAcentral.